AGGAUAGCUGAAGUACGAUCCCUUGGUAAGGUGACACCUGCAGGUAUACAGCACUGCUCCCGUCUUCCUGUGAUACCCAAGCAGAAGUGACUCGGGAGGAGCUCUGCCUGCACUGAGUCACCGCUGCUCUCUACGUUUACCCUACAAAUCUGAAAGUCAAAUUCUGUCAAAAAUUUACCUAAUAAGUGGAAGUUUGAGCAUGUUCCCGCUUGAGUAGCGGGAGUUUCGUCAGUGCAGCAUCUACAUACUUAUUGCUGCAACCCAGUAAGGUAAUGUGAGGUUUCUAAGCAUUCUUACAGCCUUUAUUGUCCUCAGUUGGAAAAGGCAUGACUUUUGCCUUUAAAAAGAAGUAAAAAAACCCAACCAACCAAACUCAGGCUUUGUCAUGAGAAUAAAAAUAGUACUGUUUG
Passer domesticus (house sparrow) is the source of this 410-nucleotide long non-coding RNA. RefSeq lists it as uncharacterized. The record is from RefSeq and is a predicted model, not a curated record. Lineage: Eukaryota; Metazoa; Chordata; Aves; Passeriformes; Passeridae. The transcript has 2 exons.